Molecule: long non-coding RNA, 979 nt
Filed under: Monodelphis domestica (gray short-tailed opossum)
Lineage: Eukaryota; Metazoa; Chordata; Mammalia; Didelphimorphia; Didelphidae
Description: lncRNA (ENSMODG00000043931.1)
Source: RNAcentral
GUUUAUAUUGUUCUCAUAAAUGUAUAUCUCAGGCAAUUAUUGUUGGAUCAAACAAUUUGAUUUGGAUCAAACAGUUAUUGUUUUCAUGUUCCUUUGAUUGGUUACAGUUACUUAGAGAGAAGUGGGACACUCCCUUUUUGAAUUCAGAGAACUCUACCUGUUUAUUCUCCUCUUUCCAACUUAAUGUCCCUAAUAUUUCCUCAAACUAGAAAUUAGAUUACCUACAGUUGUAUCAUUCCUUUUCAUUGAAUUAGCCAGAUCAAUUGUUUUUAAUGUAUAAAGUCUGUUUGCCCCUAUAUUUGAGUCUGAGCAAGAAUUAACUUUGUUUUUCCUCAUUUUUUUCUCCACUGAGGCUUGACAUGAUCUUUUAUAUUUUGAUUAAAUUUGCCUCUUGAUUUGAUGUGGCCUUUGGAAUUGAGGUGUUUUAGGUUAAAUUAAGUUUGAAAUCCAGAUUUGACUUAGAGGUCUGUUUUUCUUCUGCAAUUGGGGAAAACCCUAGAAGUUGGGGAUUUUCAAUUUUUCUUUGUGAGUUGGAGUGGCCCUAGCAAUUGGGACAUUUUAGCAUUUUAUGAAAUAAUAACAAAUGACAGGUUCCCAAAAUAGUCAGAUACCUACAGAUUCUCCUUUGUAUAGAAUUUUGAUGACAUGGGACCAGGGGAUACUAUAAUAAAGAAGUAAACUGACUGAGGAAACUCAUUACUUGUUGAACUAGAGAGGAUAAACUGAGGAGAAUCUGUUUCUUUAGCAAUGACUGUGUUCUCUGGCUGGCUGUGACUAGAGAGGCUGCUAAUGGGACCUGAAGCUGCUUAUUGGUAAUGGAGGUAGAACAGAGAAAAUGCUGAGGGAUGCUGCCACACAGAGAUGCUGUAUUAUUUGUAGAUUCUGGUACCUUGAAAAAUUUAUAAAAGGAGAAAUUCAGCCAACUAGAAAGUCUGCUAAAAAAGAUCCAAAGAGAUUCCUAAAUAAAAGUGUGGAAUGA